GAAAUGAUUGCAGGAAGAUUGGCAAUGUUGGCAUUCUUGGGAUUUAUAAUUCAGCACAAUGUGACAGGAAAAGGACCAUUUGACAACCUGUUGCAGCACCUUUCAGACCCAUGGCACAACACCAUUGUCCAAACACUGAGUGGAGGAAACUAAAAUGUUUGUUGUAUCCAAUGACAUGAAAGCCUAUGUUCUCUUCAUGUAAUCCUUAAUGGAUGAAUUUUGAAAGACAUUUUGGCAUGAUUGUUAACAUCCAUAAUCUAUUUUCAUGUACAGAGGAACUAAGAUGGUUUUGUAUUGUUAAUUAUAUUCUCAAGCAUGUUAACUAGUGUCCUCGGUGAUAUAGUCUUGUCGUUGGUUGGCUGUGAUAACGUUUUAUGCAGGUGUUUGGAUUCGAUCUUAGGUUUCCAUCCUUCCCCCUCUCCGUGUUUUAUCCGUGUGUUUGGAUUCGAUCUUAGGUUUCCAUCCUUCCUUC
This 472-nucleotide long non-coding RNA is filed under the name Trifolium pratense (red clover). RNAcentral's name for it is "long non-coding RNA (TPRA_LNC001380)". Lineage: Eukaryota; Viridiplantae; Streptophyta; Magnoliopsida; Fabales; Fabaceae. The record is from RNAcentral.